This 1456-nucleotide ribosomal RNA is filed under the name Acinetobacter calcoaceticus. RNAcentral describes it as "23S ribosomal RNA (partial)". It matches the Rfam family "Bacterial large subunit ribosomal RNA", at positions 1494 to 2925 of the family's 2925-position model. Lineage: Bacteria; Pseudomonadati; Pseudomonadota; Gammaproteobacteria; Moraxellales; Moraxellaceae. The record is from RNAcentral.
GGCGUUGGUUGUCCAGGUGAAAGGAAGUAGGCAUGCAUCUUAGGCAAAUCCGGGGUGCUCUAUGCUGAGAUCUGAUAGCAAGCUGUACUUGUACAGCGAAGUGGCUGAUACCAUGCUUCCAGGAAAAGUCUCUAAGCUUCAGUUACACAGGAAUCGUACCCUAAACCGACACAGGUGGUCAGGUCGAGUAGACCAAGGCGCUUGAGAGAACUCUGCUGAAGGAACUAGGCAAAAUGGUACCGUAACUUCGGGAGAAGGUACGCUGUUGUUGGUGAUGGAACUUGCUUCCUGAGCUGAUGACAGCCACAGAAACCAGGCCGCUGCAACUGUUUAUUAAAAACAUAGCACUCUGCAAACACGAAAGUGGACGUAUAGGGUGUGAUGCCUGCCCGGUGCUGGAAGGUUAAUUGAUGGGGUUAGCGUAAGCGAAGCUCUUGAUCGAAGCCCCAGUAAACGGCGGCCGUAACUAUAACGGUCCUAAGGUAGCGAAAUUCCUUGUCGGGUAAGUUCCGACCUGCACGAAUGGCAUAAUGAUGGCGGCGCUGUCUCCAGCAGAGGCUCAGUGAAAUCGAAAUCGCUGUGAAGAUGCAGUGUACCCGCGGCUAGACGGAAAGACCCCGUGAACCUUUACUGCAGCUUGACAUUGAACUUUGACCUUACUUGUGUAGGAUAGGUGGGAGGCUUUGAAGUUGGAACGCUAGUUCCAAUGGAGCCGUCCUUGAAAUACCACCCUGGUAAUGUUGAGGUUCUAACUCUGCCCCGUAAUCCGGGGCGAGGACCAUGUCUGGUGGGUAGUUUGACUGGGGCGGUCUCCUCCUAAAGAGUAACGGAGGAGUACGAAGGUGCGCUCAGCGUGGUCGGAAAUCACGCGUAGAGUAUAAAGGCAAAAGCGCGCUUAACUGCGAGACCCACAAGUCGAGCAGGUACGAAAGUAGGUCUUAGUGAUCCGGUGGUUCUGUAUGGAAGGGCCAUCGCUCAACGGAUAAAAGGUACUCUGGGGAUAACAGGCUGAUACCGCCCAAGAGUUCAUAUCGACGGCGGUGUUUGGCACCUCGAUGUCGGCUCAUCUCAUCCUGGGGCUGAAGCAGGUCCCAAGGGUAUGGCUGUUCGCCAUUUAAAGAGGUACGCGAGCUGGGUUUAGAACGUCGUGAGACAGUUCGGUCCCUAUCUACCGUGGGCGCUGGAAAUUUGAGAGGAUCUGCUCCUAGUACGAGAGGACCAGAGUGGACGAACCUCUGGUGUACCGGUUGUGACGCCAGUCGCAUCGCCGGGUAGCUAUGUUCGGAAGGGAUAACCGCUGAAAGCAUCUAAGCGGGAAGCCUACCUCAAGAUAAGAUUUCCCUAGGACUUUAUGUCCUCUAAAGAGCCGUUCGAGACUAGGACGUUGAUAGGUUGGAUGUGGAAGCAUAGUGAUAUGUGAAGCUGACCAAUACUAAUUGCUCGUGAGGCUUGACUA